RNAcentral lists this ribosomal RNA (500 nucleotides) under uncultured bacterium. RNAcentral's name for it is "bacterial SSU rRNA". It matches the Rfam family "Bacterial small subunit ribosomal RNA", at positions 8 to 487 of the family's 1533-position model. The record is from RNAcentral.
AGAGUUUGAUCAUGGCUCAGAGCGAACGUUAGCGGCAGGCUUAACACAUGCAAGUCGAGCGAGAAAGUGGAGCAAUCCAUGAGUAAAGCGGCGGACGGGUGCGUAACACGUGGAUAAUCUGUCCUUUAGUGGGGGAUAACACUCCGAAAGGAGUGCUAAUACCGCAUGUCAGACCGAGGACUCGGGUCUUCGGUCGAAAAGGGGGCGCCCGCAAGGGGCUCUCGCUAGAGGUUGAGUCCGCGGCCCAUCAGCUAGUUGGUGCGGUAACGGCGCACCAAGGCUAAGACGGGUAGCUGGUCUGAGAGGACGACCAGCCACACUGGAACUGAGACACGGUCCAGACACCUACGGGUGGCAGCAGUCGAGAAUUUUUCUCAAUGGGCGCAAGCCUGAAGGAGCGACGCCGCGUGUGGGAUGAAGGGUUUCGAUCCGUAAACCACUGUCAUUUGUGAACAAUGGUUAUUAUUUAAAAGAUGAUAACUUGAUAGUAAUGAAAGAGG